AGGGGCGUUUGGCAUGGAUGCCAAACGAGGCAUGUCGGGCCAAGGAUGGCCCGUCUUGCCGACCCU
Non-coding RNA from Pseudomonadales bacterium RIFCSPLOWO2_12_59_9, 66 nucleotides. Lineage: Bacteria; Pseudomonadati; Pseudomonadota; Gammaproteobacteria; Pseudomonadales. The record is from Rfam.